AUCCAAACUAUUAUCUAUUAAAGGAACUGGAAAAACAUAGUCAGAUUGUAAUUUUACUUAUGGUUCACCUAUCUAUCUACGCACAUGCACUAAAUACUAUCUUUCUUUGGUGCUAGUAAAGAAGGCACUGCUCACGGACUCAAACUUUCAUGAGUAUGCCCUUUAGCGUGUAAAGCCUUAACACGUUCUCUCAAUUCUUCAUGUUCCGUUGGACUUAUGUAGUAGUGAGGUCGAUGAGGAAGUGCUACACUAGGAACAAGGUCAAUGUCAUAUUGGAUGUCUCAAAGGGGAUAAACUUGUGGGCGUGUCCUUUUGAAACAUAUCCAUAAUUUCAUCAUCCAAGCGAUAAUACUUCACUAUCUUUGCUGACUUUCAUGUCGAGUAAAAUGACUGUUGACUCUUCAAUCGUGCACAUGAAAAGGAUGUCAAUAAAGAAUUUAUUAUAAUUUUCCGUCAAUGCCGAAUUCAAUGAUGCCUUACUAGGUAAUGAGAUAAUUUUCCAUCCGUCGCGCAUAUUCCUUUUUUCUAUAGCCGAAUACGUCAAGAAUUUAACACUACAAUAAUCUAGAUGUG
RNAcentral lists this long non-coding RNA (573 nucleotides) under Olea europaea subsp. europaea. Lineage: Eukaryota; Viridiplantae; Streptophyta; Magnoliopsida; Lamiales; Oleaceae. The record is from RNAcentral.